AUUAGUGGCGGACGGGUGAGUAACGCGUGGAUAACCUGCCGUAUACAGGGGGAUAACACUUAGAAAUAGGUGCUAAUACCGCAUAAGCGCACGGUUCCGCAUGGAACAGUGUGAAAAACUCCGGUGGUAUACGAUGGAUCCGCGUCUGAUUAGCCAGUUGGCGGGGUAACGGCCCACCAAAGCGACGAUCAGUAGCCGGCCUGAGAGGGUGAACGGCCACAUUGGGACUGAGACACGGCCCAAACCCCUACGGGAGGCAGCAG
RNAcentral lists this ribosomal RNA (263 nucleotides) under uncultured bacterium. Its description in RNAcentral is "partial 16S ribosomal RNA". It matches the Rfam family "Bacterial small subunit ribosomal RNA", at positions 91 to 354 of the family's 1533-position model. The record is from RNAcentral.